RNAcentral lists this ribosomal RNA (253 nucleotides) under uncultured bacterium. RNAcentral's name for it is "partial 16S ribosomal RNA". It matches the Rfam family "Bacterial small subunit ribosomal RNA", at positions 524 to 776 of the family's 1533-position model. The record is from RNAcentral.
UACGUAGGGUGCGAGCGUUGUCCGGAAUUAUUGGGCGUAAAGAGCUCGUAGGCGGCCUGUCGCGUCGGAUGUGAAAGCCCGGGGCUUAACCCCGGGUCUGCAUUCGAUACGGGCAGGCUAGAGUGUGGUAGGGGAGAUCGGAAUUCCUGGUGUAGCGGUGAAAUGCGCAGAUAUCAGGAGGAACACCGGUGGCGAAGGCGGGUCUCUGGGCCGAUACUGACGCUGAGGAGCGAAAGCGUGGGGAGCGAACAGG